This 468-nucleotide ribosomal RNA is filed under the name uncultured bacterium. RNAcentral's name for it is "partial 16S ribosomal RNA". It matches the Rfam family "Bacterial small subunit ribosomal RNA", at positions 28 to 507 of the family's 1533-position model. The record is from RNAcentral.
GAUGAACGCUGGCGGCGUGCUUAACACAUGCAAGUCGAACGGAAAGGCGCUGCUUUUGUGGGGUGCUCGAGUGGCGAGCGGGUGAGUAACACGUGAGUAUCCUGUCCCUGAAUUUGGGAUAAAUUCAGGAAACUGGGGAUAAUACCGGAUAGGAGCUCUUGCUGCAUGGUGGGGGUUGGUAAGUUUCGGCGGUUGGGGCUGGUAUCGCGGCUUCUCCGCUUGUUGGUGAGGUUGUGGAUUUCCAAGGUUUUGAAGGAUAGCCGGCCUGAGAGGGUGACCGGCCACAUUGGGACUGAGAGACGGCGCAGACUGCUACGGGAGGCAACAGGGGGGAAUAUUGCACAAUGGGCGGAAGCCAGAUGUAGCAACGCCGCGUGCGGGAUGACGGCCUUCGGGGGGUAAACCUCUGUCUCCGGUGACGAAGCGUGAGUGACGGUAAUGGGUAAAGAAGCACCGGCUAACUACGUG